CCAGCAGCUGCGGUAAUUCCAGCUCCAAUAGCGUAUAUUUAAGUUGCUGCAGUUAAAAAGCUCGUAGUUGGAUUUCGGGUGGGGCCUGCCGGUCUGCCUUUUCGGUUGCACUGGCAGGGCCCACCUUGUUGCCGGGGACGGGCUCCUGGGCUUCACUGUCCGGGACCCGGAGUCGGCGAGGUUACUUUGAGUAAAUUAGAGUGUUCAAAGCAGGCCUACGCUCUGAAUACAUUAGCAUGGAAUAACAUGAUAGGACUCUGGCCUAUCCUGUUGGUCUGUAGGACCGGAGUAAUGACUAAUAGGGACAGUCGGGGGCAUUCGUAUUUCAUUGUCAGAGGUGAAAUUCUUGGAUUUACGAAAGAUAAACUUCUGCGAAAGCAUUCGGCAAGGAUGUUUUCAUUGAUCAAGAACGAAAGU
RNAcentral lists this ribosomal RNA (417 nucleotides) under uncultured eukaryote. Its description in RNAcentral is "SSU rRNA". It matches the Rfam family "Eukaryotic small subunit ribosomal RNA", at positions 567 to 990 of the family's 1831-position model. The record is from RNAcentral.